GGGAAAAUGACAUCGCUCAGUGGUAGAACAUCUGCCUUGUAUGCAGAUGGUCCCAGGUUCGAUCCCUGGAAUACCCA
This is a non-coding RNA of Podarcis lilfordi (Lilford's wall lizard), 77 nucleotides long. NCBI's taxonomy places the organism in Eukaryota, Metazoa, Chordata, Lepidosauria, Squamata, Lacertidae. The record is from the annotation of a GenBank genome assembly.